RNAcentral lists this ribosomal RNA (591 nucleotides) under Phoma herbarum. RNAcentral's name for it is "eukaryotic LSU rRNA". The stretch from base 238 to 391 matches the Rfam family "5.8S ribosomal RNA". Lineage: Eukaryota; Fungi; Ascomycota; Dothideomycetes; Pleosporales; Didymellaceae. The record is from RNAcentral.
GUUUCCCUUUGUGCGAUCUUCGUUUCCUUGGGUCAUUUAGAGGAAGUAAAAGUCGUAACAAGGUUUCCGUAGGUGAACCUCGCGGAAGGAUCAUUACCUAGAGUUGUAGGCUUUGCCUGCUAUCUCUUACCCAUGUCUUUUGAGUACCUUACGUUUCCUCGGUGGGUUCGCCCACCGAUUGGACAAAUUUAAACCCUUUGCAGUUGAAAUCAGCGUCUGAAAAAACUUAAUAGUUACAACUUUCAACAACGGAUCUCUUGGUUCUGGCAUCGAUGAAGAACGCAGCGAAAUGCGAUAAGUAGUGUGAAUUGCAGAAUUCAGUGAAUCAUCGAAUCUUUGAACGCACAUUGCGCCCCUUGGUAUUCCAUGGGGCAUGCCUGUUCGAGCGUCAUUUGUACCUUCAAGCUCUGCUUGGUGUUGGGUGUUUGUCUCCUGUAGACUCGCCUUAAAACAAUUGGCAGCCGGCGUAUUGAUUUCGGAGCGCAGUACAUCUCGCGCUUUGCACUCAUAACGACGACAUCCAAAAGUACAUUUUUACACUCUUGACCUCGGAUCAGGUAGGGAUACCCGCUGAACUUAAGCAUAUCAAUA